This 543-nucleotide ribosomal RNA is filed under the name uncultured Thelebolales. Its description in RNAcentral is "eukaryotic LSU rRNA". The stretch from base 180 to 333 matches the Rfam family "5.8S ribosomal RNA". The record is from RNAcentral. Lineage: Eukaryota; Fungi; Ascomycota; Leotiomycetes; Thelebolales.
GACUGCGGAGGAUCAUUAAGAGACGUUGCCCUUCGGGGUAUACCUCCCACCCAUUGUUUAUUAUACCUUUGUUGCUUUGGCAGACCCGGCUUCGGCCCACCGGCUCCGGCUGGUCAGUGUCUGCCAGAGGACCUAAAACUCUGUUUGUUAAUAUUGUCUGAGUACUAUAUAAUAGUUAAGACUUUCAACAACGGAUCUCUUGGUUCUGGCAUCGAUGAAGAACGCAGCGAAAUGCGAUAAGUAAUGUGAAUUGCAGAAUUCAGUGAAUCAUCGAAUCUUUGAACGCACAUUGCGCCCUCUGGUAUUCCGGGGGGCAUGCCUGUUCGAGCGUCAUUACAACCCUCAAGCUUUGCUUGGUAUUGGACAUUGCCAGUUUCUGGCAGGUCUUAAAAUCAGUGGCGGUGCCAUUUGGCUUCAAGCGUAGUAAUUCUUCUCGCUUUGGAGAUCCAGGUGGUUACUUGCCAAUAACCCCCAAUUUUUUCAGGUUGGCCUCGGAUCAGGUAGGGAUACCCGCUGAACUUAAGCAUAUCAAUAAGCGGAGGA